GAAAAAGAGAAAAAGCUUCCAUGGUCAACUACGUCAUUACUUUUGCCUUCUUCCUCCCUCUUCGAUGGGCACUUGGAAAACAUGCCACCACCCUCCAUCCUUUUUCCUCUACUAAAAACCUGUCAUCCUACCAUCUCCUUCCCCAAGUCAGAAAUUCAAAAUAUUUACUCCUUCCUUCCCAACUACUGAAUUAGUGUUCCUAAUUCCCCGAUAAAUGGCCAUAAAAUCCAUCACCAAGAACACAACAAUUUUACAAACUUCAUCCUCUCACCUCUCACUUCACCACCAUCUACGAACCACCUUACUAACACCACAAAUUUCAGUCAACAAUUCGCCGGAAAACGUGACCCAAAGAAACCCAAAAAGAAAACUCCUUUCUCUCUCCCUCCUCUGUUUCGGAUUUCAAACACCACCACCACUGUCUGCCGACCGGCUCGCAUGACGCCAAGUCAGCCGCCAGUCACUUGUACGACACUUGCCAGCCACCCGCAGCUCGCCAGAGCUCCACUCGCACUUUCGCGUCCUCUCCUCUGUCUCGUCGCUCCUCUACACGGGUGGAUGUAUCGCGGGACACCACCGAUGCCGGGGACCGACGUCGUUCCUCGCCGCCAUUGCCGCUCGUCGCCGUCGUUUGCCGGAGCCACCCUCUCGUCUCGAUCGUUGUCGCCCUUGCUCUUAGUAGCAGAGAUGCCCAGUUAGCAGUAGUGUUUUUCAGGGCAUCAUGAAUUGUAUUGGACUAAAGAAGUAUACACAUGAACAUCUAUAAACUAGCUGGAAAAGAUGGGGAAGAAAGUUUAGACAGAAGAAGAAACAAAAGGUGGAUUAUGCUAUUCAUUCUGCCCUUGUGUAUCACAUCUGGAGAUGCAGAAAUCAUGCUCUUUGGCAUGAAGCAGUUAGAAGGCUUGAAUUUGUUGUGAAAGAUAUUCAAAUUGAUGUCCUGUGUAGAAUUCAGACAAGUGUUGAUGUAAAAUGGACUAUAUAAGAAAGGUGUUAGCUGCAAUAGUUGAAUGUGUAAGGUCUGCUGUUUGUAGUUA
This is a long non-coding RNA of Beta vulgaris subsp. vulgaris (sugar beet), 1034 nucleotides long. RefSeq lists it as uncharacterized. The transcript has 2 exons. The record is from RefSeq and is a predicted model, not a curated record. Lineage: Eukaryota; Viridiplantae; Streptophyta; Magnoliopsida; Caryophyllales; Amaranthaceae.